GUCUACGGCCAUACCACCCUGAACGCGCCCGAUCUCGUCUGAUCUCGGAAGCUAAGCAGGGUCGGGCCUGGUUAGUACUUGGAUGGGAGAAGGACGAGAAUAACGGACUAUGUGGAGG
This is a ribosomal RNA of Panthera pardus (leopard), 118 nucleotides long. NCBI's taxonomy places the organism in Eukaryota, Metazoa, Chordata, Mammalia, Carnivora, Felidae. The record is from Ensembl.